Long non-coding RNA from Oncorhynchus keta (chum salmon), 3227 nucleotides. RefSeq lists it as uncharacterized. The transcript has 5 exons. The record is from RefSeq and is a predicted model, not a curated record. NCBI's taxonomy places the organism in Eukaryota, Metazoa, Chordata, Actinopteri, Salmoniformes, Salmonidae.
GAGAAAUAGAAAUGAGAGAGAACGAGAGAAUGAGAGAGAAAGAGAGAAGCAGACAGACAAUCAGACAGACAGACAGACAGACAGACAGACAGACAGACAGACAGACAGACAGACAGACAGACAGACAGACAGACAGACAGACAGACAGACAGACAGACAGACAGACAGACAGACAGUUAUCAACUUAAACAACCUGUCAGUCAUCAAGAGGCUUUUUAAUAAGGAACGUUUCCCCUACCGAAAAUAUAAUUUUCUCAGACAAAGAAUGACAGCAGGGGGAGUGAGGUGUCAGUUGGUUGAAGUGGGGGCAGGUCUGACACAUGCUGGGUUGUGGCGUCCCUUCAAAAGAGCGUUCAGGGUCGGGUUCUUAGAACCUUGCAGCUGGGUUGAGCUGUGUCUGAUGGUCCUUAGUUUGCAACUACAAUUCACCACUCAACCCCAAUAUUCUCUCUGGGUUGAAAUACUACUUGAAAUAUUUCUACUACUUUGAGCUUUGUUUACUUAAGCCUGCUUAGAGUGCCAGAUGGGAGGAGUUUGCGCUUUUUCUACUAUCAUAUUUUUUUAAACUUUAAUUUUUAUUUAACCUUCAUUUAACUAGGCAAGUCAGUGAAGAACAAAUUAUUAUUUACAAUGACGCCCUACACCGGCCAAACCAGGAAGAUGCUGGGCCAAUUGUGCGCUGCCCUAUGGAACUCCCAAUCACAGCCAGUUGUGAUACAGCCUGGAUUUGAACCAGGUUGUCUGUAGUGACGCAUCGAGCACUGAGAGGCAGUCCCUUAGAUCGCUGCGCUACUCAGGAGCCCAAGAUCUAUCCCUGUGUUAUCUCUGUUAUCUCUGUUAUCUCUGUUAUCUCUGUUACCUGUUACCUAUGUUAUCUCUGUUAUCUCUGUUGCCUCUGUUAUCUCUGUUACCUGUUACCUAUGUUAUCUCUGUUACCUAUGUUAUCUCUGUUACCUAUGUUAUCUCUGUUACCUCUGUUAUCUCUGUUUCAUAUUUUCAGGAAAUUAACAGCUAAGUUGAUGAUAGUGAUGGUUCUCAUGGUAAGGUCAACCAGUAAGGAAGUGAAUGUAGUUUAAUGUAGUUCACAAGAAUGGACUUAUAUUAGUCCGACUGACCUGUAACUGUUAACAAGUAAGAACAUUUUAGAAGAUGUAUCACCGGUCAGUUAGAAUAGAUCAGUUACAAUAGGUCAGUUAUAAUAGGUCAGUUAUAAUAGGUCAGUUACAAUAGGUCAGUUACAAUAGGUCAGUUAUAAUAGGUCAGUUACAAUAAGUCAGUUACAAUAAGUCAGUUACAAUAAGUCAGUUACAAUAGGUCAGUUACAAUAGUUCAGUUAUAAUAGGUCAGUUAUAAUAGGUCAGUUACAAUAGGUCAGUUAUAAUAGGUCAGUUAUAAUAGGUCAGUUAUAAUAGGUCAGUUAUAAUAGGUCAGUUACAAUACGUCAGUUAUAAUAGGUCAGUUACAUUAGUUCAGUUAUAAUAGGUCAGUUACAAUAGGUCAGUUACAAUAGGUCAGUUACAUUAGGUCAGUUACAAUAGUUCAGUUAUAAUAGGUCAGUUACAAUAGGUCAGUUACAAUAGGCCAGUUAUAAUAGGUCAGUUACAAUAGGUCAGUUACAAUAGGCCAGUUUUAAUAGGUUACAAUAGGUCAGUUACAAUAGGUCAGUUACAAUAGGCCAGUUAUAAUAGGCCCGUUACAAUAGGUCAGUUAUAAUAGGUCAGUUAUAGGCCAGUUAUAAUAGGUCAGUUAUAAUAGGUCGCAAUAGGUCAGUUAUAAUAGGUCAGUUAUAAUAGGUCAGUUAUAAUAGGUCAGUUACAAUAAGUCAGUUAUAAUAGGUCGCAAUAGGUCAGUUAUAAUAGGUCAGUUACUAUAAGUCAGUUACAAUAGGUCGCAAUAGGUCAGUUACAAUAGAUCGCAAUAGGUCAGUUAUAAUAGGUCGCAAUAGGUCAGUUAUAAUAGGUCACAACCAUGUGUGACAAUGAUUUGUUUUUAAAGGUACAUCACCGGAAGUUGAGUUCCUAACUGUUACCUGGAACUUGAGCUUAUAUUUCCACGGUACUGUUUAUAACGGCAACGUACGAGCUGAAUCCAUUUCUGUUUUGGACACUAUUUUCUAGAGGUAUUAAGUUGCGUGUAUGGGAAUGUUCAUGCAUUCUUAACAUGAUUGAGAAAGGUUCUUACCAUUGCGAGUGAAGUACACUUGGAGCUCCAUCAUAGGUCGCCUCCUGCAGGCUAGUUGAUGAACUUCUAAAAAAAUAAAUACUGGACUCCUUGAACAAAGACGUAUUGCAUCAAGCAUCAAUGCAGUCUCUCCUGACAGACAUUGCAUGCAUGGGAGAUUUAGCUGUAGGUGUAUUGAUUACCAUCAAUACAAUAUGUUCUGGUCUUGCCCUGAAGCAUCCUCAGAUCCAGAAGGAGUCCCCGUACAUCAGGUUCCUGUGUUGUGACGAUGAGCACACUCUCUCCCUCUGGGUCAACUCCAUCAGAGUAGCCAAGUAUGGGGCCACCCUGUAUCACAACUAUCAGAAGGCAGUGAGGAGAGCCUUAACCAUCACCUCCACUCUGCAUGUGACCAGUCUGCCUGUCUCCAGCCCUCCCACACAUUCUACUGGGCACAUAGCAACAGUGAGGGCCAAUGGACAUCCUGAUCAGGACGACCUCUCUGAACCGCCCCCAGACUUUAUACCCCCGCCCCCUCCUGGGUGGGGCUCUGGGGUCUAGGGAUGGAGCUCCGCCCACUCACCCAUGACUUCUGUAGAGGACGUUCUCAACCUACCUACCUACAGACAGACAGGCCCAGUGUUCAUGGACCAGAGCGAUGCUUUUCGAAAAUAGCACCUCGGGAGGUGACAGGCCCUGCUCCAAUACUUCAAAAUACAUUCUUCCUUUCUUCCCUCCUUCUUUAAGUAACUGAUCUGACAAGAUAUGAUUGGACAACGCAAUGCAGUGGAGACAUUUCCAAACCAGUGACUGAUGGGAAAGGGGGGGAUACCUAGUCAGUUGCACAACUGAAUGCAUUCAACUGAAAUGUGUCUUCCGCAUUUAACCCAACCCCACGAUGCAUGUUCUUGGGUUAUUUAUGUACUGAAUUGUAUUAUUUAUGUAAUAAGUCAGAAUUAUUAAAGCCUAAGUUAACCACACUAAAGCUAUGUUGUAAUUGCAACCUGAUGAAGAUGCACAGCAUGUUUGUAUGACGCUUCAUCAACACAGACAUAAUUGGCUAAGCC